AGGAUUCCAGCAGGUCGCGCUGCGCCUUGGCUUCGCGCUCGAAUGCGCGCAACUGGACGUCCUGGCCAUUCGUCGAUGACGCCUGACGUUUCAAUUGGUCGAGACUGCCAUUGAGCCCGUCAGCCCGGGCGCUCGCAAUGCGGGCAUCGUUUUCAAGCGAGCGGGAUAUCUUGCUCGCCUCCUCGCGAAUCUGCCGAUCGAUGUCCGUGAUCUGCGCCUUUAAUUCCUUGAUACGCGGAUGCCCGCCCAGCAGCGUGGAGGAUUGCUCGGCAAGCUGUGCACGAAGGGUCACACGCUGCUCC
Molecule: unclassified non-coding RNA, 302 nt
Filed under: Hevea brasiliensis (rubber tree)
Lineage: Eukaryota; Viridiplantae; Streptophyta; Magnoliopsida; Malpighiales; Euphorbiaceae
Source: RNAcentral